CAGUCGCCGCGGUAAUACGUAGGUGGCAAGCGUUGUCCGGAAUUAUUGGGCGUAAAGGGCUCGCAGGCGGUUUCUUAAGUCUGAUGUGAAAGCCCCCGGCUCAACCUGGGAGGGUCAUUGGAAACUGGGAAACUUGAGUGCAGAAGAGGAGAGUGGAAUUCCACGUGUAGCGGUGAAAUGCGUAGAGAUGUGGAGGAACACCAGUGGCGAAGGCGACUCUCUGGUCUGUAACUGACGCUGAGGAGCGAAAGCGUGGGGAGCGAACAGGAUUAGAUACCCCAGUAGUCCCUGUCUCUUAUAC
This 301-nucleotide ribosomal RNA is filed under the name uncultured bacterium. Its description in RNAcentral is "partial 16S ribosomal RNA". It matches the Rfam family "Bacterial small subunit ribosomal RNA", at positions 509 to 807 of the family's 1533-position model. The record is from RNAcentral.